UGGGGAAUUUUGGACAAUGGGCGCAAGCCUGAUCCAGCCAUGCCGCGUGAGUGAAGAAGGCCUUCGGGUUGUAAAGCUCUUUCGGCGGGGACGAAAUGGUUCGUGCUAAUACCACGGACUGAUGACGGUACCCGCAGAAGAAGCACCGGCUAACUACGUGCCAGCAGCCGCGGUAAUACGUAGGGUGCAGGCGUUAAUCGGAAUUACUGGGCGUAAAGCGUGCGCAGGCGGUUUGUUAAGACAGAUGUGAAAUCCCCGGGCUUAACCUGGGAACUGCGUUUGUAACUGGCAGACUGGAGUGUGGCAGAGGGGGGUGGAAUUCCAAGUGUAGCAGUGAAAUGCGUAGAUAUUUGGAGGAACACCGGUGGCGAAGGCGGCAUCCUGGACCGGUAUUGACGCUGAGGCGCGAAAGCUAGGGGAGCAAA
This 425-nucleotide ribosomal RNA is filed under the name uncultured bacterium. Its description in RNAcentral is "bacterial SSU rRNA". It matches the Rfam family "Bacterial small subunit ribosomal RNA", at positions 355 to 772 of the family's 1533-position model. The record is from RNAcentral.